This 576-nucleotide long non-coding RNA is filed under the name Homo sapiens (human). Its description in RNAcentral is "HSALNT0389640". The record is from RNAcentral. Lineage: Eukaryota; Metazoa; Chordata; Mammalia; Primates; Hominidae.
AGCAGACGGACAGCACACACCAUGCAGAUCAGGCAGGGGUGAGAAAAACACAACAAAGCAAGGCAAGUUAGUGACAGCAUUAAGAGGUCCGGCCUGGAUGAAGAGGGUGCUGGCUCUAGAGGAGGGGCCCCGGGGACAAACGGCUCUGGAGCCCAGCCAGAGGACAGACCUCAGGGCAUUUGCUCCUCUCUCGGGACAGGGGGCACCCGACCUUCAACAGAUGUGAGGACAUAUGAACUCUCAGGGCAACUAUGGCCAACAGCCGUGAGCCAUGAGUCACCGCUUCCUCAGUGCAGUUCCGACCCCAGAGCAGGAGGGAAGACGGGCAGGGCGCCCACUACAUGGCAUGUUCCUGCUCCUGGGGCACCACACUGCCCCGCUGUGAGGACUCCAGCCCGCCCCAGAAGCCGAGGUUUCUCCUGAGCGAGUCCGAGUCCCAGGAUUGUGAUUCGAGGCAUCCUGCCCAUCCCCAGCAGCAGAGAGCAACGGCAGGUGCGAGGAGCAGCUCCCAGGAUCUUACCUGCCAUCAAACCGAUGCUUCAAGAAGUCAAAUAAAGCUUUCUGCAUCAUGUCUGU